CGACUAAUUUUAUUUUUAAACGCUCCGGUCGAGCCUCCGCGCAACAACCAAUAGCAGGUGUAUCUCUUGUUCGCUAUAUAUCAAUAUACAUCCAUGUGCCCAACGCCACUGCCAUUAUUUACAUCAUGUGCGAUUGUCGCUCUUUAAUAAAAACUAACACGUGGUGGAAAACUUCAUGUUGACUCAAUGAACAUGUUUUUAUUAAUGCGUACUCUUCACUUUUCUUCUACCCUCAUCAACGUUUUUAGUCCGUGAUAUUCGAUAUUUUGCGUUUCGCGUUUCACCGCAGCAGACGUAACUGAAAAUUUUAUCGUUAUUUUUCGACGCACGACGUAACGAAUUACACAAACGCGUAGCGUCGACUGGCAAUCCCGGGCACUGCUUUAUCGACCUACGCAACAGUCAAAACUUUUUCUUCGCCUGUGCUUUUACUGCUCCAGUGCGCGCAUUAUUUACUCGUAUUUUCUUAUCGGAAACGUAUGUGUGUAUGCGUGUGUGAGUAUGUGAGAAAUUCAAUACGAACAGUCGGACAGACAUGUGGAUAAAUUGAAUUGUUUUCGAAGCGAAACCACCGAUUUGGGUACACAUACCGUGCUGUCAUAACCGUGUUCUUCAACCGCGACAUGAAAAGAAGAUCGCGUGCAUGUGAGUGUUAUUUAUCUUCUCUACAUGCAGUGAUUUUUGCUGAUCCGUAUAAGAUUGUUCUGUGUGAUACACCGUGAAAAAAAACGAGUUACUUUAAAUUAUAUAUGCAUUCGAAAUUGGUUUUUUCCGGAGCUCGAUAGCCUCGCAAUUCCGAGGAACAUUGGAAUUUUCAAUAUUAUGAUUAUUCGAAAAAUUAGAUGAUGAUUAGGAUGAAAGAAACGCGACGAUUGCAAAAAAGAUUUGUGCAUGUUGGGAUCGCAAAAUUCUUUUUAAAUCUACUUUUUUUGUUUCUCGAAUGUAAAUUAUUUCAUUAUCGAAAAGAAAAACAUUUCUGUGCUUCAAUUCAUAUUUCUUACAACGAAUUGUUCCGAUAACUUCCACAAAUGGUUUUUGAUAAUGAUUCAAAGACAAACCUCCGGUUCAAACGAAUACUCAGACCAUAAAUUGAUGACGAAAUUUCUUACGAACAACGAGAAAUAAUCAAAGAAAAAAACUCCGAUGGUGAGCCACGCAUUUUGUAUCGACCCUAUUUUUUCUCGUUUCUUUCGCGAUUUACAUCAAUGACGGACGCAUUCUAUGGAAUCUCCGAGCAUUAUAAGUCCGAUGCUCGCGCUCGUUGACGCGCAUAUAAUUUAUCAAUUGCGUAACUAAAUGGAAAUUAAAGAGUCAAAGACACGGUCAAUGGCAAACGGAGGUCAAACGUCUAGGCGCGUAGGAAGAGAAAACACUUUUCGUGAGCAGUCAGAUCAUUUGUCAACAUUUUAAGGAUGUAUGUAUAUAAGGUCAAUUUCGCAGUACAUUUAUUUAUUUUUUAAGGUUAUGUUUUAUGUUAAAAUGUCAAUGGUGAAUCAUUUCUGUUUGCAUUUUAUAAUUUUUAAUAAAAAAACUAUGUCAUUUUGAAUCAUAAUUUACGAUUUUUACUAAAAUUAAUAUCCAAUUUGAUAACUGUGAUCAAGCACAAGCGAGCCAAUCAAAUUACAUGUCCAAUAUGGCGGACGUACUAACUACAGAAUGCCGCUGAAACGUAAAAAGUUAACCCCAAAUAUCUCCACAACGACGACGCCUGUACCCGAAACUUCUUAAUUCUUAAAUAUUUCUUUCAAAUUCAUGGAAAGUUUGACACGCCGAUAUUUUUUACAUACAUCCUUAAUUCCAUUUGUAGAUAAAAAUAUUUCGUAGUUUUCCUCAAACACUCCUUAAAUACGAUAACAACAUUUCGUAAUUGUGAAUCAUUUUCCCGUCUACCAGUUUUGAAUUUAGUGAUUCAAUGAAAAAUUCAUUUGUAUUAUUGAUAAACUACAAUUUAGGUUAGCUAAUUGUAAGUGACAGUUUAUUAUUAUUUUAUUUUAUACGUAAAAAUGUGAUGAAAAUAAAGACAGCAAACCCUGAGUCGAUUAGUAUCCUCAA
Molecule: long non-coding RNA, 2052 nt
Filed under: Venturia canescens
Lineage: Eukaryota; Metazoa; Arthropoda; Insecta; Hymenoptera; Ichneumonidae
Description: uncharacterized LOC122418951, transcript variant X2
Source: RNAcentral